GAUGAACGCUGGCGGCGUACCUAAUACAUGCAAGUCGAGCGAACGGACGAGAAGCUUGCUUCUCUGAUGUUAGCGGCGGACGGGUGAGUAACACGUGGAUAACCUACCUAUAAGACUGGGAUAACUUCGGGAAACCGGAGCUAAUACCGGAUAAUAUUUUGAACCGCAUGGUUCAAAAGUGAAAGACGGUCUUGCUGUCACUUAUAGAUGGAUCCGCGCUGCAUUAGCUAGUUGGUAAGGUAACGGCUUACCAAGGCAACGAUGCAUAGCCGACCUGAGAGGGUGAUCGGCCACACUGGAACUGAGACACGGUCCAGACUCCUACGGGAGGCAGCAGUAGGGAAUCUUCCGCAAAGGGCGAAAGCCUGACGGGGCAACGCCGCGUGAGUGAUGAAGGUCUUCGGAUCGUAAAACUCUGUUAUUAGGGAAGAACAUAUGUGUAAGUAACUGUGCACAUCUUGACGGUACCUAAUCAGAAAGCCACGGCUAACUACGUG
RNAcentral lists this ribosomal RNA (497 nucleotides) under uncultured bacterium. RNAcentral's name for it is "partial 16S ribosomal RNA". It matches the Rfam family "Bacterial small subunit ribosomal RNA", at positions 28 to 507 of the family's 1533-position model. The record is from RNAcentral.